CCUACGGGCGGCAGCAGUGAGGAAUAUUGGUCAAUGGGCGAGAGCCUGAACCAGCCAAGUCGCGUGAGGGAAGACGGUCCUAUGGAUUGUAAACCUCUUUUGCCGGGGAGCAAACAGCGGUACGCGUACCGCAUCGAGAGUACCCGGCGAAACAGCAUCGGCUAACUCCGUGCCAGCAGCCGCGGUAAUACGGAGGAUGGGAGCGUUAUCCGGAUUUAUUGGGUUAAAAGGGUGCGCAGGCGGCGAGUUAAGUCAGCGGUAAAAUUUCGGGGCUAAACACGGACAAGCCGUUGAAACUGGGUUGCUAGAGUGUGCGAGAAGUAUGCGGAAUGCGUGGUGUAGCGGUAAAAUGCAUAGAUAUCACGCAGAACUCCGAUUGCGAAGGCAGCAUACCGGCGCCCAACUGACGCUCAGGCACGAAAGCGUGGGUAUCGAACAGGAUUAGAUACCCUUGUAGUC
This 459-nucleotide ribosomal RNA is filed under the name uncultured bacterium. RNAcentral describes it as "partial 16S ribosomal RNA". It matches the Rfam family "Bacterial small subunit ribosomal RNA", at positions 338 to 795 of the family's 1533-position model. The record is from RNAcentral.